RNAcentral lists this ribosomal RNA (406 nucleotides) under uncultured bacterium. RNAcentral describes it as "partial 16S ribosomal RNA". It matches the Rfam family "Bacterial small subunit ribosomal RNA", at positions 30 to 526 of the family's 1533-position model. The record is from RNAcentral.
AUUGAACGCUGGCGGCAGGCCUAACACAUGCAAGUCGAACGACUGGCGGACGGGUGAGUACUGUCUGGGAAACUGCCUGAUGGAGGGGGAUAACUACUGGAAACGGUAGCUAAUACCGCAUACCAUCAGAUGUGCCCAGACGGGAUUAGCUAGUUGGUGGGGUAACGGCGUACCAAGGCGACGAUCCCUAGCUGGUCGGAGAGGGUGACCAGCCACACUGGAACUGAGACACGGUCCAGACUCCUACGGGAGGGAGCAGUGGGGAAUAUUGCACAAUGGGAGCAAGCCUGAUACAGCCAUGCCGCGUGUAUGAAGAAGGCCUUCGGGUUGUAAAGUACUUUCAGCGGGGAGGCGUUACCCGAAGAAGAAGCACCGGCUAACUCCGUGCCAGCAGCCGCGGUAAUUC